AAAGCGUGCGCAGGCGGCUUUGCAAGACAGAUGUGAAAUCCCCGGGCUCAACCUGGGAACUGCAUUUGUGACUGCAAGGCUAGAGUACGGUAGAGGGGGAUGGAAUUCCGCGUGUAGCAGUGAAAUGCGUAGAUAUGCGGAGGAACACCAAUGGCGAAGGCAAUCCCCUGGACCUGUACUGACGCUCAUGCACGAAAGCGUGGGGAGCAAACAGGAUUAGAUACCCCAGU
This 230-nucleotide ribosomal RNA is filed under the name uncultured bacterium. Its description in RNAcentral is "partial 16S ribosomal RNA". It matches the Rfam family "Bacterial small subunit ribosomal RNA", at positions 562 to 791 of the family's 1533-position model. The record is from RNAcentral.